RNAcentral lists this ribosomal RNA (1435 nucleotides) under metagenome. RNAcentral describes it as "bacterial SSU rRNA". It matches the Rfam family "Archaeal small subunit ribosomal RNA". The record is from RNAcentral.
UCUCGUUGAUCCUGCGAGAGGUCGCUGCUAUGGGGGUUCGGCUAAGCCAUGCAAGUCUGGGACCGCAAGGUUCCGGCGUAAUGCUCAGUAACACGUCAAUAAUCUAACUUUAAGUGGGGCAUAGCCUCGGGAAACUGAGGGUAAUUCCCCAUAGGGAACUUGUGCUGGAAUGCUAUUUUCCCGAAAGCUUCGGCGCUUAAAGACGAGUUGGCGGCUGAUUAGGUAGUUGGUGGGGUAAUGGCCUACCAAGCCGAAGAUCAGUAAGGGCCUUGAGAGAGGUUGCCCUGAGAAGGGUACUGAGACACUGACCCUAGCCCUACGGGGUGCAGCAGGCGCGAAAACUUUCCAAUGCACGCAAGUGUGAGAAGGGAACCCCUAGUGCCUAUACAAUGUAUAGGCUUUUGCCAAAGUUAAAACCCUUGGCGAAUAAGUGGUGGGCAAGACUGGUGCCAGCAGCCGCGGUAACCCCAGCGCCACAAGUAGCGAUCACUUUUAUUGGGCCUAAAGCGUCCGUAGCCGGUUCUGUAAAUCUUUUGUGAAAUCGUCAAGCUCAACUUGCCGAAGUGCAGAAGACACUGCAGAGCUAGGGACCGGGAGGGGUCAGGAGUAUGCCGGGGGGAGCGGUAAAAUGUUAUAAUCCUCGGUAGACUACCAGUGGCGAAGGCGCCUGACCAGAACGGAUUCGACGGUGAGGGACGAAAGCUAGGGGAGCAAAACGGAUUAGAUACCCGUGUAGUCCUAGCUGUAAACUCUGCGAACUAGGUGUUGCAUAUUCUAUAUGAAUGUGCAGUGUCGGAGUGAAGAUGUUAAGUUCGCCGCCUGGGAAGUACGGUCGCAAGGCUGAAACUUAAAGGAAUUGGCGGGGGAGCACUACAAGGGGUGCGGCGUGCGGUUUAAUCCAAUUCAACACGGAGAAUCUCACCAGAGGCGACGGCAGGAUGACGGUCAAGCUGAUGACUUUACCUGACGAGCCGAGAGGAGGUGCAUGGCCGCCGCCAGCUCGUGCCGUAAGGUGUCCUGUUAAGUCAGGCAACGAGCAAGACCUAUGCUUACAAUUGCUAACGAGCCCUUUAGGGUGAUUGAGCCAAUUGUAGGGACUGCCCGCGUAAGUGGGAGGAAGGCGUAGGCAACGGUAGGUCCGUAUGCCCCGAAUCUUCUGGGCUACACGCGCGCAACAAUGGUAGGGACAAUGGGAUGCAACCCCGAAAGGGGUAGCUAAACCUCUAAACCCUAUCCCAGUCCGGAUUGAGCUUUGUAACUCAGGCUCAUGACGUCGGAAUCCCUAGUAAUCAGAAGUAAUCAUCUUCUGGUGAAUACGUCCCUGCUCCUUGCACACACCGCCCGUCAAACCAACCGAGCAGGGUUUAGGUGAGGAUUGGCUUUUUGGUCAAGACGAAUCUAAGCUCAGUGAGGUGGGUUAAGUCGUCACAAGGUA